GACGAACGCUGGCGGCGUGCUUAACACAUGCAAGUCGAACGGAAAGGCCCGCAUCAUUUUUGUGGUGGGGGUGCUCGAGUGGCGAACGGGUGAGUAACACGUGGGUGAUCUGCCCUGUACUUCGGGAUAAGCUUGGGAAACUGGGUCUAAUACCGGAUAGGACCAUGGUUUAGUGUCUCAUGGUGGAAAGAUUAUUGUUUUGGUGCAGGAUGAGCUCGCGGCCUAUCAGCUUGUUGGUGGGGUAAUGGCCUACCAAGGCGUCGACGGGUAGCCGGCCUGAGAGGGUGGACGGCCACAUUGGGACUGAGAUACGGCCCAGACUCCUACGGGAGGCAGCAGUGGGGAAUAUUGCACAAUGGGCGCAAGCCUGAUGCAGCGACGCCGCGUGGGGGAUGACGGCCUUCGGGUUGUAAACUCCUUUCGUUAGGGACGAAGCCACAUUUUUUGGGUGUGGUGACGGUACCUUUGUUAAGAAGCACCGGCUAACUACGUGCCAGCAGCCGCGGUAAUACGUAGGGUGCGAGCGUUGUCCGGAAUUACUGGGCGUAAAGAGCUCGUAGGUGGUUUGUUGCGUCGUCUGUGAAAUUCCGGGGCUUAACUUCGGGGUGGCAGGCGAUACGGGCAUAACUAGAGUGCUGUAGGGGAGACUGGAAUUCCUGGUGUAGCGGUGGAAUGCGCAGAUAUCAGGAGGAACACCGAUGGCGAAGGCAGGUCUCUGGGCAGUAACUGACGCUGAGGAGCGAAAGCAUGGGGAGCGAACAGGAUUAGAUACCCUGGUAGUCCAUGCUGUAAACGGUGGGCGUUAGGUGUGGGGACCGGUUUGGUUUCUGUGCCGUGGCUAACGCAUUAAGCGCCCCGCCUGGGGAGUACGGCCGCAAGGCUAAAACUCAAAGGAAUUGACGGGGGCCCGCACAAGCGGCGGAGCAUGUGGAUUAAUUCGAUGCAACGCGAAGAACCUUACCUGGGUUUGACAUGCACCAGACGGUUGUAGAGAUACGUACCUCCCUUUGUGGUUGGUGUGCAGGUGGUGCAUGGUUGUCGUCAGCUCGUGUCGUGAGAUGUUGGGUUAAGUCCCGCAACGAGCGCAACCCUUGUCUUAUGUUGCCAGCACUUUGGGUGGGGACUCAUGAGAGACUGCCGGGGUUAACUCGGAGGAAGGUGGGGAUGACGUCAAAUCAUCAUGCCCUUUAUGCCCAGGGCUUCACACAUGCUACAAUGGUUAGUACAACGCGCUGCGAACCUGUGAGGGUGAGCGAAUCGCUGAAAGCUAAUCUCAGUUCGGAUUGGGGUCUGCAACUCGACCCCAUGAAGUCGGAGUCGCUAGUAAUCGCAGAUCAGCAAUGCUGCGGUGAAUACGUUCCCGGGCCU
This 1368-nucleotide ribosomal RNA is filed under the name uncultured bacterium. RNAcentral's name for it is "bacterial SSU rRNA". It matches the Rfam family "Bacterial small subunit ribosomal RNA", at positions 28 to 1381 of the family's 1533-position model. The record is from RNAcentral.